AUUGAACGCUGGCGGCAUGCCUUACACAUGCAAGUCGAACGGCAGCACGGGUGCUUGCACCUGGUGGCGAGUGGCGAACGGGUGAGUAAUACAUCGGAACAUGUCCUGUAGUGGGGGAUAGCCCGGCGAAAGCCGGAUUAAUACCGCAUACGAUCCACGGAUGAAAGCGGGGGACCUUCGGGCCUCGCGCUAUAGGGUUGGCCGAUGGCUGAUUAGCUAGUUGGUGGGGUAAAGGCCUACCAAGGCGACGAUCAGUAGCUGGUCUGAGAGGACGACCAGCCACACUGGGACUGAGACACGGCCCAGACUCCUACGGGAGGCAGCAGUGGGGAAUUUUGGACAAUGGGCGAAAGCCUGAUCCAGCAAUGCCGCGUGUAUGAAGAAGGCCUUCGGGUUGUAAAGCACUUUUGUCCGGAAAGAAAUCCUUGGCUCUAAUACAGUCGGGGGAUGACGGUACCGGAAGAAUAAGCACCGGCUAACUACGUG
This 486-nucleotide ribosomal RNA is filed under the name uncultured bacterium. RNAcentral's name for it is "partial 16S ribosomal RNA". It matches the Rfam family "Bacterial small subunit ribosomal RNA", at positions 30 to 507 of the family's 1533-position model. The record is from RNAcentral.